RNAcentral lists this ribosomal RNA (866 nucleotides) under uncultured bacterium. RNAcentral describes it as "bacterial SSU rRNA". It matches the Rfam family "Bacterial small subunit ribosomal RNA", at positions 8 to 864 of the family's 1533-position model. The record is from RNAcentral.
AGAGUUUGAUCAUGGCUCAGAUUGAACGCUGGCGGCAGGCUUAACACAUGCAAGUCGAACGGUAACAGGGAGGAGCUUGCUUCUUUGCUGACGAGUGGCGGACGGGUGAGUAAUGCUUGGGAAUCUGGCUUAUGGAGGGGGAUAACUACGGGAAACUGUAGCUAAUACCGCGUAAUAUCUUCGGAUUAAAGGGUGGGACUUUCGGGCCACCUGCCAUAAGAUGAGCCCAAGUGGGAUUAGGUAGUUGGUGGGGUAAAGGCCUACCAAGCCGACGAUCUCUAGCUGGUCUGAGAGGAUGACCAGCCACACUGGAGCUGAGACACGGUCCAGACUCCUACGGGAGGCAGCAGUGGGGAAUAUUGCACAAUGGGGGGAACCCUGAUGCAGCCAUGCCGCGUGAAUGAAGAAGGCCUUCGGGUUGUAAAGUUCUUUCGGUGAUGAGGAAGGUGUUUGUUUUAAUAGAGCAAGCAAUUGACGUUAGUCACAGAAGAAGCACCGGCUAACUCCGUGCCAGCAGCCGCGGUAAUACGGAGGGUGCGAGCGUUAAUCGGAAUGACUGGGCGUAAAGGGCACGCAGGCGGUGACUUAAGUGAGAUGUGAAAGCCCCGAGCUUAACUUGGGAAUUGCAUUUCAUACUGGGUCGCUAGAGUACUUUAGGGAGGGGUAGAAUUCCACGUGUAGCGGUGAAAUGCGUAGAGAUGUGGAGGAAUACCGAAGGCGAAGGCAGCCCCUUGGGAAUGUACUGACGCUCAUGUGCGAAAGCGUGGGGAGCAAACAGGAUUAGAUACCCUGGUAGUCCACGCUGUAAACGCUGUCGAUUUGGGGAUUGGGCUUAGAGCUUGGUGCCCGUAGCUACACGUGAUAAA